ACGCUUCGAGCGCCGUGGGCAGGAGCGGGGGACCCAAGGUAAGUGCCGGGCCCGGCCGUCGAGAGACGGCCAAGUCCGGCUAGGGGUGAAGCCGCGCGCCACCAGCGCGCGGCCGGGCACUCACCAGGCCCGAACCCGACAGCUCACCUCGCAGGCGUCGGUGAGGAGAUCC
Molecule: small RNA, 172 nt
Filed under: Streptomyces thermolilacinus
Lineage: Bacteria; Bacillati; Actinomycetota; Actinomycetes; Kitasatosporales; Streptomycetaceae
Description: c-di-AMP sequence
Rfam family: c-di-AMP riboswitch aptamer (ydaO/yuaA leader)
About the family: This family represents a conserved RNA structure found upstream of the ydaO and yuaA genes in Bacillus subtilis and related genes in other bacteria. The ydaO/yuaA element is thought to act as a genetic "off" switch for the ydaO and yuaA genes in its native state.
Source: RNAcentral